UUUAGCUGGCGAGCGGCGGACGGGUGAGUAAUGCCUGGGGAUCUGCCCAGUCGAGGGGGAUAACAGUUGGAAACGACUGCUAAUACCGCAUACGCCCUACGGGGGAAAGGAGGGGACCUUCGGGCCUUUCGCGAUUGGAUGAACCCAGGUGGGAUUAGCUAGUUGGUGGGGUAAUGGCUCACCAAGGCGACGAUCCCUAGCUGGUCUGAGAGGAUGAUCAGCCACACUGGAACUGAGACACGGUCCAGACUCCUACGGGAGGCAGCAGUGGGGAAUAUUGCACAAUGGGGGAAACCCUGAUGCAGCCAUGCCGCGUGUGUGAAGAAGGCCUUCGGGUUGUAAAGCACUUUCAGCUGAAGGGAGGAAAGGUGUGAGACGUCCUUAAUACGUGCUCAUCUGUGACGUACUCACA
This 412-nucleotide ribosomal RNA is filed under the name Aeromonas sp. RNAcentral describes it as "bacterial SSU rRNA". It matches the Rfam family "Bacterial small subunit ribosomal RNA", at positions 83 to 498 of the family's 1533-position model. The record is from RNAcentral. Lineage: Bacteria; Pseudomonadati; Pseudomonadota; Gammaproteobacteria; Aeromonadales; Aeromonadaceae.